CUCUUAUCCAGAGAGGUGAAGGGACAGGCCCGUUGAUACCUCGGCAACCAUCUCAUAUAGAAAAGGUGCCAAUUCCUGCAAGAUGAGAG
Molecule: non-coding RNA, 89 nt
Filed under: Seinonella peptonophila
Lineage: Bacteria; Bacillati; Bacillota; Bacilli; Caryophanales; Thermoactinomycetaceae
Description: SAM-I sequence
Rfam family: SAM riboswitch aptamer (S box leader)
About the family: The SAM riboswitch is found upstream of a number of genes which code for proteins involved in methionine or cysteine biosynthesis in Gram-positive bacteria.
Source: Rfam by way of RNAcentral